Molecule: ribosomal RNA, 468 nt
Filed under: uncultured bacterium
Lineage: Bacteria
Description: partial 16S ribosomal RNA
Rfam family: Bacterial small subunit ribosomal RNA
Source: RNAcentral
GACGAACGCUGGCGGCGUGCUUAACACAAGCAAGUCGAACGGAAAGACCCUGCUUUUGUGGGGUGCUCGAGUGGCGAACGGGUGAGUAACACGUGAGUAACCUGCCCUUGACUUUGGGAUAACUUCAGGAAACUGGGGCUAAUACCGGAUAGGAGCUCCUGCUGCAUGGUGGGGGUUGGAAAGUUUCGGCGGUUGGGGAUGGACUCGCGGCUUAUCAGCUUGUUGGUGGGGUAGUGGCUUACCAAGGCUUUGACGGGUAGCCGGCCUGAGAGGGUGACCGGCCACAUUGGGACUGAGAUACGGCCCAGACUCCUACGGGAGGCAGCAGUGGGGAAUAUUGCACAAUGGGCGGAAGCCUGAUGCAGCAACGCCGCGUGCGGGAUGACGGCCUUCGGGUUGUAAACCGCUUUCGCCUGUGACGAGGCGUGAGUGACGGUAAUGGGUAAAGAAGCACCGGCUAACUACGUG